Molecule: long non-coding RNA, 740 nt
Filed under: Rattus norvegicus (Norway rat)
Lineage: Eukaryota; Metazoa; Chordata; Mammalia; Rodentia; Muridae
Description: long non-coding RNA NONRATT010228
Source: RNAcentral
AAUUCUGACUUGGUCCUACCCUUGUGUUCCUGUUGGGUCAGACUCUGGUAUGUCUCAAUUUUGAGCUCAAUGCUCUUUUUCCUAUGGUGUGGUGUGGUGGCAGUUUAAUGCACACCUAAAUUCUGAAUUUCCAGAGCUAUCUGGUCACUAGCCAGGGGAUUUUGUGCACUUGGCUUUGGAGGCCAAACUGUCACACCAAGGAAAAGAAAAGAAACAUGUCUACUCAUCUGUGUCUGAAAUCUGCCAAGUGUAAGAUGUUCAGAAGUCGCCUAGCCUGCCUCGGACACAAGGCUGGGCCCUCACCUGUCUUGAGCUGUGAGUCCUUUAAAUAUCCUCAGGGAACAAGAAUGUGUGUCCUCUCUUCAUCUGAAAUUGCUAGUCAAGGGAGAAGAGCAUCAUUCAGUCCGGAAGUCUCCAGUUCUGUGAGUAAAGGUAAGCUCUCUUUUCAUAUUUACUCAGAGAUUCUGGACCACAUUUGAAAUGAACUCGAAUUCUCAAGCCCUUGGUCACCUUUCUCCAAUCUCUCUCUAGGAGUCUUGGGGUACAUACCCUGCCAACGCCUGUGCUGGGGCUUAGGAAAGAGGUUUGGAUAUAUAGUCUAUAUGCCCCCAGAGAGUACACACUUAUGUGAAGGUGAGUGUGGCGGUCUGCUAAAAGGACAGAGACCUAGACUGUGCCUCCCUUUCCUUCAUCUCCCUUUGUUCCCCAAUGUAUGUCAUGGUAAUAAAAUAUUUCUGGCA